RNAcentral lists this transfer-messenger RNA (351 nucleotides) under chicken gut metagenome. It matches the Rfam family "transfer-messenger RNA". Rfam says of the family: Bacterial tmRNA, also known as 10Sa RNA or SsrA, is named for its dual tRNA and mRNA-like properties. Its role is to liberate the mRNA from a stalled ribosome. The record is from RNAcentral.
GGGGAUGUAAUGGUUUCGACAUUAUAUCUGAAGCAUGAAUAGCGAGUAGUGGAUUCUCGUUUGCCACUAUAAAAACGAGAAAUUUAAAUAUAAACGCUGAUAAUAGAGAAUUAGCAUACGCUGCUUAGUUGCAACGUCGCCAAUUAAAAUAUCCCACAUAUUUUAAAUUGGUGUCAUUUUAGUGGGAAACAAAACUAUUUUUUCUAUGGAAAUAGUGGGUAUUUUAAUAGAUAUAUUUGAUAAUCGCUUGUUUAUUUGUGAUUGUUAAAUGAAUAAAAAAAUAAACUGCACUCGGAGAAGUUUGUGUGGAUAAUAUAGUGGACAGGGGUUCGACUCCCCUCAUCUCCACCA